RNAcentral lists this ribosomal RNA (1475 nucleotides) under Staphylococcus aureus. RNAcentral describes it as "bacterial SSU rRNA". It matches the Rfam family "Bacterial small subunit ribosomal RNA". Lineage: Bacteria; Bacillati; Bacillota; Bacilli; Caryophanales; Staphylococcaceae. The record is from RNAcentral.
AGAGUUUGAUCCUGGCUCAGGAUGAACGCUGGCGGCGUGCCUAAUACAUGCAAGUCGAGCGAACGGACGAGAAGCUUGCUUCUCUGAUGUUAGCGGCGGACGGGUGAGUAACACGUGGAUAACCUACCUAUAAGACUGGGAUAACUUCGGGAAACCGGAGCUAAUACCGGAUAAUAUUUUGAACCGCAUGGUUCAAAAGUGAAAGACGGUCUUGCUGUCACUUAUAGAUGGAUCNACCUGAGAGGGUGAUCGGCCACACUGGAACUGAGACACGGUCCAGACUCCUACGGGAGGCAGCAGUAGGGAAUCUUCCGCAAUGGGCGAAAGCCUGACGGAGCAACGCCGCGUGAGUGAUGAAGGUCUUCGGAUCGUAAAACUCUGUUAUUAGGGAAGAACAUAUGUGUAAGUAACUGUGCACAUCUUGACGGUACCUAAUCAGAAAGCCACGGCUAACUACGUGCCAGCAGCCGCGGUAAUACGUAGGUGGCAAGCGUUAUCCGGAAUUAUUGGGCGUAAAGCGCGCGUAGGCGGUUUUUUAAGUCUGAUGUGAAAGCCCACGGCUCAACCGUGGAGGGUCAUUGGAAACUGGAAAACUUGAGUGCAGAAGAGGAAAGUGGAAUUCCAUGUGUAGCGGUGAAAUGCGCAGAGAUAUGGAGGAACACCAGUGGCGAAGGCGACUUUCUGGUCUGUAACUGACGCUGAUGUGCGAAAGCGUGGGGAUCAAACAGGAUUAGAUACCCUGGUAGUCCACGCCGUAAACGAUGAGUGCUAAGUGUUAGGGGGUUUCCGCCCCUUAGUGCUGCAGCUAACGCAUUAAGCACUCCGCCUGGGGAGUACGACCGCAAGGUUGAAACUCAAAGGAAUUGACGGGGACCCGCACAAGCGGUGGAGCAUGUGGUUUAAUUCGAAGCAACGCGAAGAACCUUACCAAAUCUUGACAUCCUUUGACAACUCUAGAGAUAGAGCUUUCCCCUUCGGGGGACAAAGUGACAGGUGGUGCAUGGUUGUCGUCAGCUCGUGUCGUGAGAUGUUGGGUUAAGUCCCGCAACGAGCGCAACCCUUAAGCUUAGUUGCCAUCAUUAAGUUGGGCACUCUAAGUUGACUGCCGGUGACAAACCGGAGGAAGGUGGGGAUGACGUCAAAUCAUCAUGCCCCUUAUGAUUUGGGCUACACACGUGCUACAAUGGACAAUACAAAGGGCAGCGAAACCGCGAGGUCAAGCAAAUCCCAUAAAGUUGUUCUCAGUUCGGAUUGUAGUCUGCAACUCGACUACAUGAAGCUGGAAUCGCUAGUAAUCGUAGAUCAGCAUGCUACGGUGAAUACGUUCCCGGGUCUUGUACACACCGCCCGUCACACCACGAGAGUUUGUAACACCCGAAGCCGGUGGAGUAACCUUUUAGGAGCUAGCCGUCGAAGGUGGGACAAAUGAUUGGGGUGAAGUCGUAACAAGGUAGCCGUAUCGGAAGGUGCGGCUG